UGUAUAGCUUAAUUUGGUAUAGCUAAUCACUUUUAAUGAUUCUGUUUAAGGUUCAAUUCCUUAUA
This 65-nucleotide transfer RNA is filed under the name Prymnesium parvum. It matches the Rfam family "tRNA", at positions 6 to 65 of the family's 71-position model. Rfam says of the family: Transfer RNA (tRNA) molecules are approximately 80 nucleotides in length. Their secondary structure includes four short double-helical elements and three loops (D, anti-codon, and T loops). Further hydrogen bonds mediate the characteristic L-shaped molecular structure. tRNAs have two regions of fundamental functional importance: the anti-codon, which is responsible for specific mRNA codon recognition, and the 3' end, to which the tRNAs corresponding amino acid is attached (by aminoacyl-tRNA synthetases). tRNAs cope with the degeneracy of the genetic code in two manners: having more than one tRNA (with a specific anti-codon) for a particular amino acid; and 'wobble' base-pairing, i.e. permitting non-standard base-pairing at the 3rd anti-codon position. Lineage: Eukaryota; Haptophyta; Prymnesiales; Prymnesiaceae. The record is from RNAcentral.